This 225-nucleotide ribosomal RNA is filed under the name uncultured Flavobacterium sp. RNAcentral describes it as "partial 16S ribosomal RNA". It matches the Rfam family "Bacterial small subunit ribosomal RNA", at positions 568 to 792 of the family's 1533-position model. The record is from RNAcentral. Lineage: Bacteria; Pseudomonadati; Bacteroidota; Flavobacteriia; Flavobacteriales; Flavobacteriaceae.
UCCGUAGGCGGUUUGGUAAGUCAGUGGUGAAAGCCCAUCGCUCAACGGUGGAACGGCCAUUGAUACUGCUAGACUUGAAUUACUAGGAAGUAACUAGAAUAUGUAGUGUAGCGGUGAAAUGCUUAGAGAUUACAUGGAAUACCAAUUGCGAAGGCAGGUUACUACUAGUUUAUUGACGCUGAUGGACGAAAGCGUGGGUAGCGAACAGGAUUAGAUACCCUCGUA